GAUGAACGCUGGCGGCGUGCCUAAUACAUGCAAGUAGAACGCUGAAGGAGGAGCUUGCUCUUCUGGAUGAGUUGCGAACGGGUGAGUAACGCGUAGGUAACCUGCCUGGUAGCGGGGGAUAACUAUUGGAAACGAUAGCUAAUACCGCAUGACAACAGUUAUUGCAUGAUAACUGUUUAAAAGGGGCAACUGCUCCACUACCAGAUGGACCUGCGUUGUAUUAGCUAGUUGGUGAGGUAACGGCUCACCAAGGCGACGAUACAUAGCCGACCUGAGAGGGUGAUCGGCCACACUGGGACUGAGACACGGCCCAGACUCCUACGGGAGGCAGCAGUAGGGAAUCUUCGGCAAUGGACGGAAGUCUGACCGAGCAACGCCGCGUGAGUGAAGAAGGUUUUCGGAUCGUAAAGCUCUGUUGUAAGAGAAGAACGAGUGUGAGAGUGGAAAGUUCACACUGUGACGGUAUCUUACAGAAAGGGACGGCUAACUACGUG
Molecule: ribosomal RNA, 494 nt
Filed under: uncultured bacterium
Lineage: Bacteria
Description: partial 16S ribosomal RNA
Rfam family: Bacterial small subunit ribosomal RNA
Source: RNAcentral